Molecule: ribosomal RNA, 557 nt
Filed under: uncultured Rhizobium sp.
Lineage: Bacteria; Pseudomonadati; Pseudomonadota; Alphaproteobacteria; Hyphomicrobiales; Rhizobiaceae
Description: bacterial SSU rRNA
Rfam family: Bacterial small subunit ribosomal RNA
Source: RNAcentral
ACGGGUGAGUAACACGUGGGAACGUACCCUUUUCUACGGAAUAACCCAGGGAAACUUGGACUAAUACCGUAUGUGCCCUUCGGGGGAAAGAUUUAUCGGAAAAGGAUCGGCCCGCGUUGGAUUAGCUAGUUGGUGGGGUAAAGGCCUACCAAGGCGACGAUCCAUAGCUGGUCUGCGAGGAUGAUCAGCCACAUUGGGACUGAGACACGGCCCAAACUCCUACGGGAGGCAGCAGUGGGGAAUAUUGGACAAUGGGCGCAAGCCUGAUCCAACCAUGCCGCGUGAGUGAUGAAGGCCUUAGGGUUGUAAAGCUCUUUCACCGGAGAAGAUAAUGACGGUAUCCGGAGAAGAAGCCCCGGCUAACUUCGUGCCAGCAGCCGCGGUAAUACGAAGGGGGCUAGCGUUGUUCGGAUUUACUGGGCGUAAAGCGCACGUAGGCGGAUCGAUCAGUCAGGGGUGAAAUCCCAGAGCUCAACUCUGGAACUGCCUUUGAUACUGUCGAUCUGGAGUAUGGAAGAGGUGAGUGGAAUUCCGAGUGUAGAGGUGAAAUUCGUAGA